CAUGUAGGCGAAUUAAUAAGUUUGAAGUGAAAUCCUAUAGCUUAACUAUAGAACUGCUUUGAAAACUGUUAAUCUAGAAUGUGGGAGAGGUAGAUGGAAUUUCUGGUGUAGGGUAAAUCCGUAGAGAUCAGAAGGAAUACCGAUUGCGAAGGCGAUCUACUGGAACAUUAUUGACGCUGAGAUGCGAAAGCGUGGGGAGCAAACA
Molecule: ribosomal RNA, 205 nt
Filed under: uncultured bacterium
Lineage: Bacteria
Description: partial 16S ribosomal RNA
Rfam family: Bacterial small subunit ribosomal RNA
Source: RNAcentral